AAAUGACUCUCGGCAACGGAUAUCCCGGCUCUUGCAUCGAUGAAGAACGUAGCGAAAUGCGAUACUUGGUGUGAAUUGCAGAAUCCCGUGAACCAUCGAGUCUUUGAACGCAAGUUGCGCCUAAAGCCAUUAGGUUGAGGGCACGUCUGCCUGGGUGUCACGC
RNAcentral lists this ribosomal RNA (163 nucleotides) under Oreocomoides stelliphora. RNAcentral's name for it is "Oreocomopsis stelliphora 5.8S ribosomal RNA". It matches the Rfam family "5.8S ribosomal RNA". From Rfam's summary of the family: 5.8S ribosomal RNA (5.8S rRNA) is a component of the large subunit of the eukaryotic ribosome. It is transcribed by RNA polymerase I as part of the 45S precursor that also contains 18S and 28S rRNA. Functionally, it is thought that 5.8S rRNA may be involved in ribosome translocation. The record is from RNAcentral. Lineage: Eukaryota; Viridiplantae; Streptophyta; Magnoliopsida; Apiales; Apiaceae.